Long non-coding RNA from Homo sapiens (human), 684 nucleotides. RefSeq lists it as uncharacterized. The record is from RefSeq and is a predicted model, not a curated record. The transcript is spliced from 2 exons. NCBI's taxonomy places the organism in Eukaryota, Metazoa, Chordata, Mammalia, Primates, Hominidae.
GGGUCUUCUGCGUUUGCUGGCGCCUGCCAGGCGUCGUCUCCGACGUUACGGCGGCCGCGCGGCCCUCUCCCUUGGGCUCUGCCCUGCGCAGCCCUGGUUCGAGCGGGCCAGUGAGGCCCGGCGCCCUCCCCGCCUCGCCACGAGGAUCCACCGCGGCCGCCCAGGCUUCUAGCCUUGUCGUCACGGCACGGAGAUAAGCCCGCGCUGGCCACAUCGCGAAGCCCCUUGCACCGCAGGGAUCCCCACCUGUCCGGUGAGGAAGAUUUGUCCCUCCUGCAUACUGUGUCCACCCUUACAGGCCCUCACUCUCCAUGAUGGCUCAGCACAGGUGACUAUCCUGACCUCCUCACAUCCCUCCUUCUUCGAGAGGGUUCUGGCGUUUCUCUCUGCUCCCUGGUGCGUGUCUUCUCAUGGUGCACUGCCGAGUCCUUUAAGAAGCUAUGCUUCCCUGUCAUGCGUCCAGGACAGCCCCUUGAACCCCUCCUGGGUCCGCAUCUCUCAUCACCCCUGCUUCUUUACGUACUGACUUGGCUUUGUUUGUGCUUUGACUCCCCAGGAGAAAGUGGGCUUCCUGCAAGCGGAGCUGUGCCCAGGACCAUGCCAGCCCACGGCAGGCGCUCAGUAAUGUUUGUUGAAUGAAUGUGUAAAUGCAUGAAGAUAAUAUAUGUAUUUAAUGCAUGUAAA